UUGAAUUGCAAAUUCAAAGAAGCAGCUUAACGCUGCCGGGGCUUC
Molecule: transfer RNA, 45 nt
Filed under: Homotherium latidens (European saber-tooth cat)
Lineage: Eukaryota; Metazoa; Chordata; Mammalia; Carnivora; Felidae
Description: partial tRNA-Cys
Source: RNAcentral